GAGGUACUUUCAGAUACAGCGUAUAGACUAAGUUCCUAUGCAUGAGACUUUAUGCCAACAAUUGUGAGGUCCCAGAACUUUCUCUCAGGAACUGUUUCAAUGACUGCUGUUUAUCAACGUGAAAGAAAGUAUCCAGGAGAACAUGGAGAAAAUUAAAACUUUGUGGAGAAUGAAAGCCAGCUCAGGGAUCAUUUCUAACCCCAUGCACAGGAUAUUUAUAGCCUCCCUGUCUUACUUGUUCUUUACCACAGUUCUGUGAAAUAGGCAUUAUUCCAAUUUUUUGAUGAGAAAAACGAAGCUCAAAGAAACUGUGACCUUCCUAAGACAGUCAGUGAGAGUGGCAUCGGAAUUCUGAUCCGAUCUGAUCGACACUGCUGAUGGCAAAUAUGAUGCUCUCCGCUAUGACAGACUGCCUCACUAUCUACCAUACAGCUGGAAGUGGGUCUUUUCUUGUCAUUCCUGAAGUGAGAAGUGCUUCUAAAGCGAGUGUCAACCUAAAUAGGUAAACUGAGGCAAGCUCAAAUUACCAUAAAUUGAGUUUAUUUGAGAAAAGCAGAAGAAUUGCAAUACAGCGCACGCAAACUGUAGCAAGCUACAGUUUCGUUUUCCUGAGGACGCAUGCGUGAGAUUCUCCAUUCGUAUUCUCCGGUUCCAUUUUAGUUUGAAAUCCUUCCACAUGAGGAAGCAGAUAUUACUUUCCCGCAAAGGAUUGAGACCAGCGGCAUGGCUAAGAAUCAUGGAAACAGUGGUAAAGACCAAUUCAAGGCAAAGCAAAUUAGCAAAAGAUGCAGGUAAAAAAGUAUGGAGGACUCAGCAAAAAACUUGCAUAAAGUGCCCUUACAGAUUGACAAAACCGCGUGACAAAUACCCCGUGGACAUUGCUGCUUCCUCUGCACUUUGUAUGGAGGUUCAUAUUAACCUCAUUAUCCAGUUAUUUGUAUUUUCUGGGCCCUGAUGUUCUAGCAUAUUCAGAUGGGAAAGGCCAAGAGAACUAAAAUGAUUGCAUCCCCUGGCCUCCUUGGUGGCUGCUGCAGAAGCCAGAUCCCUCCUCUGUGGAAUGCCAAUAUUUUGGAGUCCCCGGUGAAGUCCAGAAGGGGUAGGAGGAAUCAGAGCUACGUGGAUGUGAUUGAGUUGUGCUGAGGUUGGAAUGUGCUGACCUUGCCUUUGUCUGUUGAGUCUUAUGAAGUAUCUCCAGGGGUUUUUAAGGCCAGACAAGAAAAUGCUGUGAAGGCACAUGAAAGAGAAGUCUGUGCAGGGAUCCCCAACACAAACCAGAGAAAAUUUUCUGUAUCUAAAGGCUAUCUGCUUUGUUGCUUCUGGACAAAAGUCUGAGAGGAAGGGGAAGCAUGUGCUGCCUUCCAAAUGGAAAGGACCGUCGCAUCAGACUCUUGCGGGCAUGAGGUCCUUGUUGGUGGAGCUCUUCCCCAGCCAUGAGAAAAGAAACGGAUGACAAAGUCUUCUGAAAUGGAACUCUUCACUGCUAUCUGACUCUUCUAGAAGAUCUUCAUUUUUAGAAGAUUUUGUGUUUCAUCCAGAAAUCAAAUGUAAUUAUGUUGUACUUGGAAAUAUUUGAUUCAUAUCGGGUAUGAAAUAUUAAAGAUGAAAAAUGACUGGAAAGAUGAUGAAAAGAACUACUUAAACAUUAUGAAUAAGACAAAAUGCCUUAUUUGAAUUCAGUCAACACAGAUUGAGCCUUUUCAGCACUAGUUAAUGAGCCUACCUAGAUGAGGAAGACCCUGACCUUAUGGAUCCUUCAGCCCAGUGAGGUGGUCACACCACCCAAUGCAGUAUAAAAAAUAUGUAAUGGGGGGGGUCUGGCCCCGUGGCCGAGUGGUUGGGUUCACGCGCUCCGCUGCAGGCGGCCCAGUGUUUCGUCAGUUCGAAUCCUGGGCGCGGACAUGACACUGCUCGUCGAACCACGCUGGGGUGGCGUCCCACAUACCACAACUAGAAGGA
Equus asinus (donkey) is the source of this 1956-nucleotide long non-coding RNA. The record is from Ensembl. Lineage: Eukaryota; Metazoa; Chordata; Mammalia; Perissodactyla; Equidae.